UGCAAGUCGAGCGGACAGAUGGGAGCUUGCUCCCUGAUGUUAGCGGCGGACGGGUGAGUAACACGUGGGUAACCUGCCUGUAAGACUGGGAUAACUCCGGGAAACCGGGGCUAAUACCGGAUGGUUGUUUGAACCGCAUGGUUCAAACAUAAAAGGUGGCUUCGGCUACCACUUACAGAUGGACCCGCGGCGCAUUAGCUAGUUGGUGAGGUAACGGCUCACCAAGGCAACGAUGCGUAGCCGACCUGAGAGGGUGAUCGGCCACACUGGGACUGAGACACGGCCCAGACUCCUACGGGAGGCAGCAGUAGGGAAUCUUCCGCAAUGGACGAAAGUCUGACGGAGCAACGCCGCGUGAGUGAUGAAGGUUUUCGGAUCGUAAAGCUCUGUUGUUAGGGAAGAACAAGUACCGUUCGAAUAGGGCGGUACCUUGACGGUACCUAACCAGAAAGCCACGGCUAACUACGUGCCAGCAGCCGCGGUAAUACGUAGGUGGCAAGCGUUGUCCGGAAUUAUUGGGCGUAAAGGGCUCGCAGGCGGUUUCUUAAGUCUGAUGUGAAAGCCCCCGGCUCAACCGGGGAGGGUCAUUGGAAACUGGGGAACUUGAGUGCAGAAGAGGAGAGUGGAAUUCCACGUGUAGCGGUGAAAUGCGUAGAGAUGUGGAGGAACACCAGUGGCGAAGGCGACUCUCUGGUCUGUAACUGACGCUGAGGAGCGAAAGCGUGGGGAGCGAACAGGAUUAGAUACCCUGGUAGUCCACGCCGUAAACGAUGAGUGCUAAGUGUUAGGGGGUUUCCGCCCCUUAGUGCUGCAGCUAACGCAUUAAGCACUCCGCCUGGGGAGUACGGUCGCAAGACUGAAACUCAAAGGAAUUGACGGGGGCCCGCACAAGCGGUGGAACAUGUGGUUUAAUUCGAAGCAACGCGAAGAACCUUACCA
RNAcentral lists this ribosomal RNA (939 nucleotides) under Bacillus tequilensis. RNAcentral's name for it is "bacterial SSU rRNA". It matches the Rfam family "Bacterial small subunit ribosomal RNA", at positions 56 to 976 of the family's 1533-position model. Lineage: Bacteria; Bacillati; Bacillota; Bacilli; Caryophanales; Bacillaceae. The record is from RNAcentral.